AUUGAACGCUGGCGGUAUGCUUAACACAUGCAAGUCGAACGGCAGCACGGGAGCUUGCUCCUGGUGGCGAGUGGCGGACGGGUGAGUAAUGCAUAGGAAUCUGCCUAGUAGUGGGGGAUAACGUGGGGAAACUCACGCUAAUACCGCAUACGCCCUACGGGGGAAAGCAGGGGAUCUUCGGACCUUGCGCUAUUAGAUGAGCCUAUGUUGGAUUAGCUAGUUGGUGAGGUAAUGGCUCACCAAGGCGACGAUCCAUAGCUGGUCUGAGAGGAUGAUCAGCCACACUGGGACUGAGACACGGCCCAGACUCCUACGGGAGGCAGCAGUGGGGAAUAUUGGACAAUGGGCGAAAGCCUGAUCCAGCAAUACCGCGUGUGUGAAGAAGGCCUGAGGGUUGUAAAGCACUUUCAAUAGGAAGGAAUACCUAUCGGUUAAUACCCGGUAGACUGACAUUACCUAUACAAGAAGCACCGGCUAACUACCGUCG
This 487-nucleotide ribosomal RNA is filed under the name uncultured bacterium. RNAcentral describes it as "bacterial SSU rRNA". It matches the Rfam family "Bacterial small subunit ribosomal RNA", at positions 30 to 509 of the family's 1533-position model. The record is from RNAcentral.